GAAAUGCGAUAAGUAAUGUGAAUUGCAGAAUUCAGUGAAUCAUCGAAUCUUUGAACGCACAUUGCGCCCGCCAGUAUUCUGGCGGGCAUGCCUGUCCGAGCGUCAUUUCAACCAUCAAGCCCCCGGGCUUGUGUUGGGGACCUGCGGCUGCCCGCAGGCCCUGAAAACCAGUGGCGGGCUCGCUGUCACACCGAGCGUAGUAGCAAUCUCCUCGCUCAGGGCGUGCUGCGGGUUCCGGCCGUUAAACAGCCUUACAAAACCCAAGGUUGACCUCGGAUCAGGUAGGAAGACCCGCUGAACUUAAGC
Molecule: unclassified non-coding RNA, 306 nt
Filed under: plant metagenome
Description: partial contains 5.8S ribosomal RNA, internal transcribed spacer 2, and large subunit ribosomal RNA
Rfam family: 5.8S ribosomal RNA (bases 1-105)
Source: RNAcentral